GCAACCCUCGACCUUAGUUGCCAGCAUUCAGUUGGGCACUCUAAAGGUGAACUGCCGGCUAAAAGUCGGAGGAAGGUGGGGAUGACGUCAAAUCAUCAUGCCCCUUAUGACCUGGGCUACACACGUGCUACAAUGGGCGGUACAAAGGGUCGCGAACCCGCGAGGGGGAGCCAAUCCCAAAAAAGCCGCUCUCAGUUCGGAUUGCAGGCUGCAACUCGCCUGCAUGAAGCCGGAAUCGCUAGUAAUCGCGGAUCAGCAUGCCGCGGUGAAUACGUUCCCGGGCCUU
RNAcentral lists this ribosomal RNA (286 nucleotides) under uncultured Paenibacillus sp. Its description in RNAcentral is "partial 16S ribosomal RNA". It matches the Rfam family "Bacterial small subunit ribosomal RNA", at positions 1098 to 1382 of the family's 1533-position model. Lineage: Bacteria; Bacillati; Bacillota; Bacilli; Caryophanales; Paenibacillaceae. The record is from RNAcentral.